GGGUUAGUCGAUCCUAAGAGUCG
This 23-nucleotide small nuclear RNA is filed under the name Arabidopsis thaliana (thale cress). Its description in RNAcentral is "snRNA_16123". Lineage: Eukaryota; Viridiplantae; Streptophyta; Magnoliopsida; Brassicales; Brassicaceae. The record is from RNAcentral.